Molecule: unclassified non-coding RNA, 190 nt
Filed under: uncultured Xenasmatella
Lineage: Eukaryota; Fungi; Basidiomycota; Agaricomycetes; Russulales; Xenasmataceae
Description: sequence contains ITS2
Source: RNAcentral
AAUUCUCAACUUCAUAGUUUUAUUUAUUGACUAUGAUGUUUGGAUUUGGAAGGUUGCUGGCGAAAGUCGGCUCUUCUUAAAUAUAUUAGCUGCUUUUCUGUGAGUUGGCUCAGAGUGUGAUAAGUAUCUACACUUGGUGGCUGCUUGCCUUGGACGUGGCUUCUAAUUUGUCUUCGGACAACUUCUUAAG